This is a long non-coding RNA of Podarcis muralis (Common wall lizard), 1251 nucleotides long. RefSeq lists it as uncharacterized. The record is from RefSeq and is a predicted model, not a curated record. Lineage: Eukaryota; Metazoa; Chordata; Lepidosauria; Squamata; Lacertidae.
UUCCUGCCUGGGCGGCCUUCUCUUUUCCCCCUAUCAUGUUUCCAAGCUGACCCCACAUGUAUGUUUGAACCAAGCAGCUCAGAUACCAUUUUUUAAUUUCAGCUUUAUACUUUUGUAACUUAAAUAGCAGUUAUCAACCUGCCUUCAUUUUGCUUCCAUAAUAGCUGCUUCAAUGCCUAGGUUUUGUGAAUAUUUAAAACAGAGCAUGGUUUACAACUCUUCUGACCUACCAAGAAAAGGACGUUGCAAGAGAGCUUGCCAUCCCAAUAUGAAGACAAGCGGGCUCUUUAAUGCUCACCACCAGAUGGACAUUCUCUCCAAAUGCAAGAUUCUUGGCAUGGGGUGGCAUAGCAGACCUUUGAUGGCUUUGAUGUAAAGCUCUGAAGUGUGCCAGGACACUUCAUAAAAUGCCACAGCCAGAGAUAACUUUGGGCAAACGAAAGGCAGACUUUCCCUCUCUCCAACCCAGCUAGGCUUUCCAAGAGGCUGGUUUUGCUCCAGGUUUUAUGAACUCAUUUGAAUGCAGAGAUCGGGACCUGUCAGUUUUCUGUACAGUUUUUACAAUGGUGCGUGUAUGUGAAAUUAAGAAGACAAUUUUCUGAAGGAGAGGCCUGUCAAUGACUGAUCACCACGAUGGCUGUGCUCUGCCUCCAGUCAGGGGUAGUGAAUACCCUUCUGAAUACCGGUUGCUGGAAGCCGCAGGAAGGAAGAGGGAUCUUGGGCUCAAAUCCUGCUGUUGGGAUUUCCAUUGGGAUUGCUGUUCAGCUGCUGCGAAAACAGGAUGCUGGACUAGGUGGGCCAUUGGCCUGAUCCAGCAGGCUCUUAUGUUCUUGAAAUGUUGAGCCCCGAAACACUAUAUGCUACCUUAUUUUUUAAAAUCUCUUAAUUCUGUUUUAUCCAACCAUAUACACAUCUGGAUGCUUGUGUUCCAUGUGCUACUUAUUUUGUUUCUUUCAUGCCAGUCGUUGAGCAUAAUAAUAACGGUCUGGGAUAAAAAAAAACUUACGUUCUUAUGUUAUUUGGUUUUUGCUCCUGUUUUUCAAAACAACAACAACACCAGCUUCUGGCUUAGGGGGUAUUAUUUCAUUAUAUAUCUGCAUGAUAUUGUUAUAUGUUGAAACAAUUUAAUAAAAAUUAAGGUAAGGUAAAAUAAAAUAAAGAUUUGAUUUUGCACUUGAUUUGGAUGCGACGUGCCAUUUUGCAGCAGCUUUCUAGAGGAUGUGAGCAACGCGCUUAUAGCCCAUGCUGGAC